ACUCCUGCGGGAGGCAGCAGUGAGGAAUAUUGGACAAUGGGUGGAAGCCUGAUCCAGCCAUCCCGCGUGCAGGAAGACGGCCCUAUGGGUUGUAAACUGCUUUUAUCUGGGGAUAAACCUACUUACGUGUAAGUAGCUGAAGGUACCAGAAGAAUAAGCACCGGCUAACUCCGUGCCAGCAGCCGCGGUAAUACGGAGGGUGCAAGCGUUAUCCGGAUUUAUUGGGUUUAAAGGGUCCGUAGGCGGACUGAUAAGUCAGUGGUGAAAUCCGACAGCUUAACUGUCGAACUGCCAUUGAUACUGUUAGUCUUGAGUAAGGUUGAAGUGGCUGGAAUAAGUAGUGUAGCGGUGAAAUGCAUAGAUAUUACUUAGAACACCAAUUGCGAAGGCAGGUCACUAAGUCUUAACUGACGCUGAUGGACGAAAGCGUGUGGAGCGAACAGGAUUAGAAACCCUAGUAGUCCCAUGA
RNAcentral lists this ribosomal RNA (469 nucleotides) under uncultured organism. RNAcentral's name for it is "partial 16S ribosomal RNA". It matches the Rfam family "Bacterial small subunit ribosomal RNA", at positions 335 to 800 of the family's 1533-position model. The record is from RNAcentral.